CCUACGGGAGGCAGCAGUGGGGAAUAUUGGACAAUGGGGGGAACCCUGAUCCAGCGACGCCGCGUGAGUGAAUAAGUAUCUCGGUAUGUAAAGCUCUAUCAGCAGGGAAGAAAGAAAUGACGGUACCUGACUAAGAAGCCCCGGCUAACUACGUGCCAGCAGCCGCGGUAAUACGUAGGGGGCAAGCGUUAUUCGGAUUUACUGGGUGUAAGGGGAGCGUAGACGGCGAUGCAAGUCUGAAGUGAAAGGCGGGGGCCCAACCUCCGGACUGCUUUGGAAACUGUAUGGCUGGAGUGCAGGAGAGGUAAGUGGAAUUCCUAGUGUAGCAGUGAAAUGCGUAGAUAUUAGGAGGAACACCAGUGGCGAAGGCGGCUUACUGGACUGUAACUGACGUUGAGGCUCGAAGGCGUGGGGAGCAAACAGGAUUAGAUACCCGUGUAGUC
Molecule: ribosomal RNA, 443 nt
Filed under: uncultured bacterium
Lineage: Bacteria
Description: partial 16S ribosomal RNA
Rfam family: Bacterial small subunit ribosomal RNA
Source: RNAcentral